This 404-nucleotide ribosomal RNA is filed under the name uncultured bacterium. RNAcentral's name for it is "partial 16S ribosomal RNA". It matches the Rfam family "Bacterial small subunit ribosomal RNA", at positions 28 to 526 of the family's 1533-position model. The record is from RNAcentral.
GACGAACGCUGGCGGCGUGCUUAACACAUGCAAGUCGAGCGGAGCGGCGAACGGGUGAGUAACGCGUGAGUAACUGCCCCCCCCUCUGGGAUAACAGUUGGAAACGGCUGCUAAUACCGGAUAGUGGGGGAUGACUCUGGUCCUAUCAUCUUGUUGGUUGGGUUGUGGCCUACCAAGGCGAUGACGGGUGGCCGGCCUGAGAAGGCGACCGGCCACGUUGGGCUGAGAUACGGCCAAUACUCCUACGGGAGGCAGCAGUGGGGAAUAUUGCACAAUGGGGGAAUCCCUGAUGCAGCAACGCGCGUGCGGGAUGACGGCCUUCGGGUGGUAAACCGCUUUCAGCCAUGACGCUGUAGUGGAAGAAGAAGCACCGGAUAACUACGUGCCAGCAGCCGCGGUAAUUC